GCUAGUGAUGUUUUUCUUUUAUAUUCUAUGCUAAUCAUGAAAUCUAAUGAUUAUACUUUUAUUUAUAAAGACUGA
This 75-nucleotide small nucleolar RNA is filed under the name Schizosaccharomyces pombe (fission yeast). RNAcentral describes it as "partial snR53 small nucleolar RNA". The record is from RNAcentral. Lineage: Eukaryota; Fungi; Ascomycota; Schizosaccharomycetes; Schizosaccharomycetales; Schizosaccharomycetaceae.